Lathyrus oleraceus (garden pea) is the source of this 1141-nucleotide RNA transcript. RefSeq lists it as uncharacterized. The record is from RefSeq and is a predicted model, not a curated record. NCBI's taxonomy places the organism in Eukaryota, Viridiplantae, Streptophyta, Magnoliopsida, Fabales, Fabaceae. The transcript is spliced from 3 exons.
CUCGUCGUGUCACACUCAUAACAGAGAUGCACAAUAAUUAAGAAAUACUACGUAGUUACUGUAUAAAAAUAUUAAUAAAAAAUAUCAAUUUUAUUUUCACAUAUUAGGAGAGUCUAUAGUGAAAAAUAAUAAUUCAAACGAAAAAAGAAAAACCAUGGAUCCCAAAAUUCUCAUUGUGUUCGUUCUUUUUCUGAAUCUCAUAUCAAAAUCGUUCCAAAACCCUAACCCUGAUCCUAAAAUCCCCAAAUCGACUCCAUCACCGGCACACCUUGAGCUCGCCAGUUAUGGUUUCCCCGUUGGUCUUCUUCCCGACACCACCGUCUUAUCCCACGUCAUUAACCAAACAUCCGGCGAUUUCUCCGUCAAGCUCGGUGGCGCGUGUAAAAUCACGCUUCCUCCCGAUAACUAUGUUGCUACCUAUUCCGACACUAUCACCGGGAAAAUUGUGAAAGGUAAGAUCGCCGAGCUUGACGGAAUUAGGGUUCGUGCUUUCUUUAAGUGGUGGUCUAUCACCGGAAUUCGCUCUUCCGGUGACGAUAUUGUUUUUGAGGUUGGUGUGGUCACCGCGAAGUAUGCUUCGAAGAAUUUUGAUGAUAGCCCUGCUUGCGAGGGUCAGCACUCUUCUUCAUGAUGAAAAGUUAACUGGUUCUGCGGACUGCAUAUUGCAUUUCCUAAGUUUGAAGCCUUUUUUGUUAAGCUCGAGUGCUUGACCUUCCACGUAACAACAGGUUGAUUCACUUUAACUUAGUACAGCAACAAAAAAAAAAGCAACAACCAAGUUUUAUCCCACUAAGUGGGACCGGGAUAUUAGGUGCUUAUUCUCAGCCUAUGUAAAAUUCAGCUCCACUAAGUGAAGAUAAUUUAGUAGCAGCUAGUAUUGUGUGAAAUAUUACUAGGCUAGUAGUGCUUUUAUGUAAUGGAAUCUAUGCUACGACGAAUUGUGUUGGUCACGUUACUCAUUGGACUCUAAUAAGAGCACUCUGAACGUAUUUUAUUUGGUAUUCUAUGUUGUCAUUUGUAUAUGAUGCAAUAGUAGUGUGACUUGACUUUCCUAAGUUAAAAUGUCAUGCAAAUUAAAUAUUCCUCACUUUUUAUGAGAGAAGGUGGAAAUAAAUAAUAAAAGUGAGGGAUGUAAUGGGUA